GACGAACGCUGGCGGCGUGCCUAAUACAUGCAAGUAGAACGCUGAAGGAGGAGCUUGCUUCUCUGGAUGAGUUGCGAACGGGUGAGUAACGCGUAGGUAACCUGCCUGGUAGCGGGGGAUAACUAUUGGAAACGAUAGCUAAUACCGCAUAAUAGCAGUUAUUGCAUGAUAACUGUUUGAAAGGUGCAAUUGCACCACUACCAGAUGGACCUGCGUUGUAUUAGCUAGUUGGUGGGGUAACGGCUCACCAAGGCGACGAUACAUAGCCGACCUGAGAGGGUGAUCGGCCACACUGGGACGGAGACACGGCCCAGACUCCUACGGGAGGCAGCAGUAGGGAAUCUUCGGCAAUGGACGGAAGUCUGACCGAGCAACGCCGCGUGAGUGAAGAAGGUUGUCGGAUCGUAAAGCUCUGUUGUAAGAGAAGAACGAGUGUGAGAGUGGAAAGUUCACACUGUGACGGUAUCUUACCAGAAAGGGACGGCUAACUACGUG
RNAcentral lists this ribosomal RNA (495 nucleotides) under uncultured bacterium. Its description in RNAcentral is "partial 16S ribosomal RNA". It matches the Rfam family "Bacterial small subunit ribosomal RNA", at positions 28 to 507 of the family's 1533-position model. The record is from RNAcentral.